Molecule: long non-coding RNA, 1017 nt
Filed under: Takifugu rubripes (torafugu)
Lineage: Eukaryota; Metazoa; Chordata; Actinopteri; Tetraodontiformes; Tetraodontidae
Description: lncRNA (ENSTRUG00000026712.1)
Source: RNAcentral
AUGGCGUCCCUCAGCCUCCUGCUGCUCACCGCCGCUCUGCUGCACGCCGCCCAGCCACUUCCUGCAGCUCUGGGUGUGGGGCGUGGCUUGGACGGAGCAGUGGGCGGGGCCAUGCGCCAGCGCAGAGAUGUCCACGGCGUGCUGCCCUAUGAAGAGCAGCUGUCGUACCCAGCCAGUCAUGGAAGGAGCGCGGUCAAUGACCUUUACUACCCAUCAGAUGACUGGAGGGGACAAGGCCUGGACCAGGCCCUGCAGCAGCUGGUGGACAGGGACCAGAGGCGGGACGUGGAGGAGGAGCAACGGGCAGCCUACAUGUCUGCCUUGCUCCGCCUUCUGAGCGAAGCAGAGAGUGCAAGACUGGUCGGACCGAGUGACGUGGAAGUGGUGGAGGAAGAGGUGGAUGACGAAGAGGAGGAUGACCAGGAACCACCGGACGGCUUCCAGAGGCCAAUCCCUGUAGACUAUGAUGAGACUGGGCGGGGCCUCGCCGUGGGGAGGCCCUCGGCUACCUGGUGGGGCCGCCUGGAGCCCCAGCUGGCUCAGGCUCUGCUGGACAGGAUGGAACCACAGUUGGCUCAGGCUCUGCUGGAGAGAGCGCGCCAGGAGAAACUGCAGCAAGCCGGGCGCGUUUCAUCCGGACUGAGCCUGGGACGGGACCAGGAGGCUCUGAGACAUUUAGUUUCAAAGGUCCUGAGCAGCAUCGGCCCGAACAGCCUCGCCGCCAUGUCCUCUGCGCGACGAAUGAGAAGGGACCUGACCCCCCUUGGCUCCGCCCACAGAAGGGUGCGACGCUCCCUGGAUGAUGCGGCUCCUCCGUCGCCGAGCAGCAACCCUCCUCUGCUGAGGGUGAAGCGCCUGGAGGAGGAGGAGGGCCCCAGGCUCCCUGCAGGGCUUCAGAGGAUGAAGCGCAUCGACGAAGACCUCGGUCAGGGGAGCCGUCGGCGCCGAAGGAGAGCUGUUCUGACCUUUGACCCCCAGCUGCUGGUCAGGCAGGUUAUGGAAUACAUGAGAGAGUAG